ACGCUCGACACCUACGGGAGGCAGCAGUGGGGAAUAUUGCACAAUGGGGGAAACCCUGAUGCAGCGACGCCGCGUGGAGGAAGAAGGUCUUCGGAUUGUAAACUCCUGUUGUUGGGGAAAAAGAGGAUGGUACCCAACAAGGAAGUGACGGCUAACUACGUGCUAGCAGCCGCGGUAAUCUGAGCGGCUGGCAAGGC
Molecule: ribosomal RNA, 197 nt
Filed under: uncultured bacterium
Lineage: Bacteria
Description: partial 16S ribosomal RNA
Rfam family: Bacterial small subunit ribosomal RNA
Source: RNAcentral